UUUGAAAAAUGGUGUAAUUAGAAGGUAAAAAUAGAGUUUAGUGGUCUAAUGUACCCAAAAAAAAAACUUUAGUGACCAAAUUAGACAAUUGCUAAAACUUUGAUGUGUUUUCCCUCCUUUUUCUCUUGUCUAUUGCCAGCUGCCCCAUCUACGUUCGUUUUCUUUAUGCCACCUAGCAUGUCACCUAUUCUUCACUGCUUCCCUCGAUUAACAAGAAAUGCUAUCUCCAUCUACCUAUCGCUUGUGAUAUUCCUUUCCGAUCAAUAAACUUCUUCAUCUCCGAUAUCCAUCUCUUCUUUCCCAUCUACAACUCAAACCCUAAAACUCUUAUUAGUGUCAAUGACUACUGUCAUCUUGCAUUUAUGUUAGGGUUAAGAUUGUAGAUGAAGAGGGCAACUCACAAACAACAAAGCUUUUGACAAAUGGGACCAAAUUGAGCUCAAGCUUGGUAAAUCAAUCAGUGAAAACCCAUGUUUUCUUUCCUUCUUCGCCUCCUCGCAAACAGCAAAAAAGCAUCGAUACAGAGCAAUUUGAUGUCAUCCUAAGAAAGCCCUAAAGCUUUAGAGGGCGUGUAUGGUUUUCUAUAAGCACGUCUCUUUAAAUGGUUUUCUAGACAGGCUUUUCUUUCUUUUUCUGUCUUAGAAAAUUAAAAUCUUCUUAUUUAAAGUCAGUCCUUGACCGCCUCAUGCUUCGGUCAGGCAUCGAACGGCUGUUAAUACUUCCCCCACCUCACGCCACCGUCAAAGCUUCGUGUAUGCCUUCUUCACUCAUUCUUCAUCUUCACCUCAGCUUCACACCAUGUCUAUAAGGCGGUCUUCAUGGGUUUUGAAAAAUACGGUCAACACCUGCCAGGCUUCUGUCAUUCUUGCUUCAGGCUGAGGCAGGAUACUUACUUCACAGUGGGUUUUGCUUCAUUUUCGGCGUUUCCCCCAAAGCAGCUUGUCAUCUCCUCUUCCUUAAAGAAACAUGUCCACUAAUUAAAUUAAUAUGUGUAUCCUACACCGCCUUUCCUCCGGACGACAACUCUUCCUUUUUCUUUUUGAAGAAUUGUGUGAAUGUAAGCAUAUGACUCUCUUAAUUUAAACUCAAGGAUGUUCAAAGUUGGAGACUGAAGAUGGUCGACUUAAUAGCUACUAUGAUGUAAGUGGAUACACUUCGUUGGAUACUUUCUUCUUGAUGAAAUGCAUGUAAACUGUUUGAAACAAAAUGCCUGGAUGAGAUUUCAGUUGAAUAUUGAUCUGAGAUGGUACAUAAUUAAGCCAUGAAACAAUAUCAAAAUUAGAAGUCAGAAGCAGAGCAAUCCUUUCUCUUGUCAUCACAUAAUAAGUAAUGAUAUUAGAUGAAGGCGUGGCUUGUCAUUUGAAUGGGAAGCCGCGAGUGCCAACCUUUGAAACAUGACUUGCAUUACUGGAAAAUAUCAACGCAGAUCAAGAAAGCGUUCUUUAGGAUGCUACUUUCCAAAUGUGAAAAGGAGUUCUAGAGAAAAAGGAAUCGGAUGAUACGUAUGUUAAAAAUAUGAAUUUUAUUUUCAUUUUUUUUAUGUACAUAUAUUUCAUCUCUAUAUCUUAUUUGCAUUUAGGUUUGUAAAGCGUUUACGAAUGUGGUUUGCUUUUAUUGUGACGAGACUGAAUAGAAUUUAGGCAACACAAUUUUGGGAUUCAUAUGCAUAUAAAAGCAUUUUAAUUUCAUUUUUCUC
This is a non-coding RNA of Lactuca sativa (garden lettuce), 1696 nucleotides long. Lineage: Eukaryota; Viridiplantae; Streptophyta; Magnoliopsida; Asterales; Asteraceae. The record is from RefSeq and is a predicted model, not a curated record.